Molecule: ribosomal RNA, 506 nt
Filed under: uncultured bacterium
Lineage: Bacteria
Description: partial 16S ribosomal RNA
Rfam family: Bacterial small subunit ribosomal RNA
Source: RNAcentral
AGUGAACGCUGGCGGUAGGCCUAACACAUGCAAGUCGAACGGCAGCACAGGAGAGCUUGCUCUCUGGGUGGCGAGUGGCGGACGGGUGAGGAAUACAUCGGAAUCUACUCUGUCGUGGGGGAUAACGUAGGGAAACUUACGCUAAUACCGCAUACGACCUACGGGUGAAAGCAGGGGAUCUUCGGACCUUGCGCGAUUGAAUGAGCCGAUGUCGGAUUAGCUAGUUGGCGGGGUAAAGGCCCACCAAGGCGACGAUCCGUAGCUGGUCUGAGAGAAUGAUCAGCCACACUGGAACUGAGAGACGGUCCAAACUCCUACGGGAGGCAGCAGUGGGGAAUAUUGGACCAUGGGCGCAAGCCUGAUCCAGCCAUACCGCGUGGGUGAAGAAGGCCUUCGGGUUGUAAAGCCCUUUUGUUGGGAAAGAAAUCCAGCUGGCUAAUACCCGGUUGGGAUGACGGUACCCAAAGAAUAAGCACCGGCUAACUUCGUGCCAGCAGCCGCCGCGG